Pyrus x bretschneideri (Chinese white pear) is the source of this 871-nucleotide long non-coding RNA. RefSeq lists it as uncharacterized. The record is from RefSeq and is a predicted model, not a curated record. The transcript has 2 exons. NCBI's taxonomy places the organism in Eukaryota, Viridiplantae, Streptophyta, Magnoliopsida, Rosales, Rosaceae.
AUAUGUAUGUAUGUAUGUAUAUAUACAAAUCAAUAGUUGGUAUCGAUGGCAAAGAAGGGAGCAUCUUCGUCAAAUCCUUCAAAUAGAGUGCCCACAUUAUAUCUAUAUUUUGUGAUGUUUGCAUUAAGAGGUUGAGGCCGGAAAUCGUCCGAGUACUCACUUUAACGAAGAAGGAUAUGCAAAUAUUAGAGCUAACUUCAAGGCAGAGACAGGGCAUGAUUAUGAAAGAGUGCAACUGAAAAAUAAGUCAGAUGCACUUAAAAAUCAAUGGAAGUCGUGGAAAGAGUUAGUUGGUAAAGAAACUGGCCUAGGGUGGAAUUCGAGUAAGGGUACUGUUGAUGCCUCUGAUGAGUGAUGAAAUAAUAAAAUUCAGAUAAACAAAGAAUAUGAAAAUUGCGAAAAAAAGGGCAUUAGUCCUGAGAUGGAGGACAAGUUGGAUAGGAUGUCCUCGAGUACAGUUGCUACCGGUGAACAUGCAUGGGCACCUUCAUCUGGAGUACUACCACUAGAGACAAGAAAUGAAUCUAUAGGACAAAUUGAUUCAGAUUAUGAGGAAGAAAUUGAGACUAUGCAAGAUCUAAGGCAAGCUAGUACAAAGGGAAAAAAAAGAGCAGCUUAUCAAUGAGAAUUGCAAAAGAAGAAGGUUGAUAAGAAAGGGAAAAAAUUGGAGGUGCUACAAAACUUUGUGGUCAAAUUGAUUGUCUUGUUGAAGCUUAUGAAACUAGGAGUUCUGCAUGAGGUCGCUGCGUAUAGGUACUAGUAUUAAGGAAAUGUUAGUGGCUGUUGUACAAUUGCCUGGAAAUUUGAUUCCUCACAAACAUAAACAUCAGCCUUUCCUUUAAGCCUUAACCAAUCCUUAAAAAUUUCACAA